GUAUGUUUAGAUGGAGAGCAAAAAGAAAUAUUUUAGGAAACCCUUGGAAUCUAACCACAGUGAAUUUUUUCUGCAUUUUUUAUUUUCCUUAUUUUCUACAGCAAUAUCAGUUCUUAUUGACACCACAAGUUAUUUGGGUCAAUAAACUUUCAAAACCAAGUUUUCUAUCAGUAAUAAACCAGAUACUACCAAAGAAUUAUUCAAAGGUGAACAUAUAUAUGAAUAAAUUGGAUUUUAGUAGACAAGAGAGGGACAAAGAAUACGUUACUUCAGUGACUCAAAGUGAGAAGUAUCCAAUUUAUUCCUAUAUAAUUAUUCCUAUACUUAGAAGGAUCUUGAGGCAUCCGACAGUGAAAAUUGAUUCAGUAGGUCUGUGUUGAGGCAGGAAUCUGUUUUUAAAAAGCAAUCUGGGUGAUUUAAACUUCAGGCAAGUUAAGGAAACAUGUUAAAGUAUGGAUGAAAAGGUUUGUCUGCAUACAGCUUCCAAAAUACCCAACUUGUUAGACAUAUUUAAAACCAAACAAUUGUAGAGUAUCAUGGAUCUGGAGAACUAGCGGAGCAGAGCCCUACUGCUCCUGUCAGUAUGCAGCUCCAGUCUGUCAAAUUCAUAAUCAGAAACACACACCUUUCUAGAAGUGAAGUUGACCCCAUUCUUCGCAAUCUCCAGUCCAGGGCUGCCCUGGGAGAAACUUUGCACCUUCUUUGAAGUUUUGAAACUGAACUAGGAGAGAGACCAUACUCCAGGGGAUCUGCAGGCCUUGUGAUGUCUUCUAGAGCUUUUUGCAUAGGGAAAAAACAAGACAAAAUGAAAAUGAAACAUCCAUAGGAGCCCUCCAGAAUCCUGCAAGUUGUCUGGCAGUAGGGUUCACAGUUUCUCCUAGCAUGACCCUGCGCUGAUCAGCAACUACAAGAAUUGGCUCCUGUGUGUGACACUGUACUGCUGGGGCCUGAUCACAACCCACAACUACAGUGUUGUCACAGCUGCUGCCUCUACUUCCACCUCUGUGAUUUCACAGCCAUGAAUCAACCACAGUGCUUCUACAAUGAAUCUAUCACCUUCUAUAACUUCAGUGGAAAGUAUUUUGCCAAAGAAUGAAAUAGUCGGCAAGUUGGUGAUGGGACUUAGAUUCUAACUGUAUCUUCAUUUUGUUGGCCAACCUACUAGUCAUGGUGGCAAUUUACAUCAACCAUUGCUUCCAUUUCCUCUUCAUUACUUAAUGGCUCAUUUGGCUGCUGCAGACUUCUUUGCUAGGUUGGCCUAUUUCUACAUGAUGUUCAACACAGGUCCCAAUACUCAGAGACUGGCCAUUAGCAUGUGGCUUCUCCAUGAGGGCCUCAAUGACACCAGCCUGAUAACAUUUGUGGUCAACCUACUGGCUAUUGCAAUCAUGAGGCACAUUUCAUUUUUCCACACAGAGUUCCAUACAUGGAUGAGAAACUGGCAGGUGGUAGUCGUCAUUGUGGUCAUAUGAACUAUGGUCAUCGUUACAGUUGCUAUGCCCAGUGUGGGCUGGUGACCUUUGUGGUAAUGGUGGUUUUCUAUACUUGCCUCUUUGGUUACAUUCACCAGAGAAUGUAUUAGACUGUCUUGGCACAGUUCUGGAUCCUAGUGGAAUAAGAACAUCAUGAUGUCUUCUGAAGACUGUAGUAAUUAUGCAUAGUGCCUUUAUCAUCUGCUGGACUCCUGGAUUGGUCUUGUUACUGCUAGAUGUGUGUUGUCUGUAGGGCAAUGUUGAGAAUGUCUGUAGGCCUAUGAAAAAUUUUUCCUCCUCCUUACUGAAUUCAGCUCUGCCAUGAACCCCGUCAUCAACCGAGACAAAGAGAUGAGUCCCACCUCAAACAGAUCCUCUGCUGCCAGCACAGGGAGAGCACCAACAGCCCCACAGAAGGCUGACUGUUCUGCUUCCACCCUCAACCACACCAUCUUGGCUGGAGAUCACAGUAAUGGCUACUCUGUGGCUCAGAUGUGAAGCCAGCUGUCCCCUAUGAAGAAAUGAACUGCCUCCCUCCACCUAGUUACCAGCGCAAGGUGGG
RNAcentral lists this long non-coding RNA (2034 nucleotides) under Marmota monax (woodchuck). Lineage: Eukaryota; Metazoa; Chordata; Mammalia; Rodentia; Sciuridae. The record is from RNAcentral.